UUGUAGCCUACUUAUAACAUUGAAUAUAAUACGAAAGGCAGCGUACAUUCAGUUUGUUUUACUGAUGAGAGGAGAAGCCUGUUAACUCCGCAUAAAUGCAUUUAUUUGGUCUCGUUUAUAAAGUAUUUAACAUGUGUAUAUGUUUACAAUAACACAUGCAUAAAACAGAUUUACAAAAACAAUAUAAAACAAAUGAUUUAUCAAACAUACAUCUCUUCAAAAUUGCUGGUUUAGAUAUUCAAGAUAAGGUGAUGCGAACAUUUUUAUUGUUUUUAUUUUAUUUAUUUAUUUUUUUGUAUAUGUAUUUGUAUUUGUUUAUAUUAUGUAUAAAUUUAGCAUGUUAAUACUAGAAACUUUACUCCUUCAGCAGCUGAAUGUGAAAACAACCCUCUCGCGUGGUGUCAGGCUCAAACAUACAAGUUUACUCCUUCUUUGUCAGCUUCUGUUGGUGUCCCGAGCCUCGUAGGGGGGCACAUUCUCAGACGUAUUCUUUAGUGCUGCUCGGCGGACCGGAGCGGGAACUGGUCGCCAUGGACGGGUACUUGGACACCUGUUUCUUGCGUGGACAGGAGGCGGCCAACAUGGCUCCGCCCAGGACGUCUAGGAGGGAGCCGCCCCAGGCGAUGAAGAUUGCGGCACCAAACUCAAACCUGAGAGCCAGUUAGACCUCUAAUGUUGGAAUCGGUGCCAGGAGUGCUGGACUCAUCCAGUCUAAUGACCUCUGGAGGGCGGCAGCGGAGGAGUGGGAGGAAAGCUUUUUGGACUCGGGAUCAAACUUCCUCCUACCUACUGAGUGAUGUACGCAAGAUCUGAGCAAAACUGUGAUGAUGAGGUGAGCUUUGAUGAGAUGUUAUGUAACCGGGUCUGUAUUGAUUAUCAUAGGUCCCAUAGACGAGAGAUUAUUAGCAUAGGUCACAUACAGUGGCAUGUGCGGGAGCAACAGUGCAGGCAGUGACAAAUUAUAGAGGACCUAUUAUGCUGUUGUGCUUUUUCGCUUUCCUUUAGUGUGUUAAAAGGUCUGCAAAGUUAUAAAGUCCAAAGUCCAAGCCAAAGGGAGUUACUCUCCCCUACAGAAACACUGCUCC
This is a long non-coding RNA of Sebastes umbrosus (honeycomb rockfish), 1085 nucleotides long. RefSeq lists it as uncharacterized. NCBI's taxonomy places the organism in Eukaryota, Metazoa, Chordata, Actinopteri, Perciformes, Sebastidae. The transcript is spliced from 3 exons. The record is from RefSeq and is a predicted model, not a curated record.